Capsicum annuum is the source of this 9422-nucleotide long non-coding RNA. RefSeq lists it as uncharacterized. The transcript has 3 exons. The record is from RefSeq and is a predicted model, not a curated record. Lineage: Eukaryota; Viridiplantae; Streptophyta; Magnoliopsida; Solanales; Solanaceae.
UUCUCUAACUAACUACACUAGAAGAGAACCAUUCAUUCAAUUUAUCCAUUACCUUGAUAUAGUACAAGAUACUGUUAUAAGAAUCUAGAUAGAUUCUUUUUUUAAGAAAAACUUAAAUCGGGUUGAUGCCCAUUUCAUAAACAAAAAACAUAAUAGAGUUUGGUCAGGACCAAAAGUGACCUGACUCGGAUCCACAAAUAGAAAAUAUCUAAUACAACAUUUUCAGACCACUAGAUCAAUUUGGAAAGUGCAAACUUUAUCAUUUGUUGCCUCUUCAUCUUCUCCGACAUCAAGCCAUUUCUAUGGUGCUCUGACCAUCAUCAUCUUUCUCUCCAUCACCUCAAAUGUAGGUUUUAUACUCAAGGAAAUCACUUCUAACACCAGAUUUGAAGAAAGAUAGAAGUUGCUCUACCUUCUGCAAGUUCCAGGUUCCUUCUUCUCUAAAACUUGUAUGAAUGUCUGAAUAUUAACAUAUUAAAUAUUCAUUCUUGGUUUUUUGUCUGUACACAUUUUGUGUAAGCUGAUCAUUAACUUUCUGAUAGCCUAUCUGAUAUUAAAUUCUCUAUACUUUUAUACGAAUUACUGAUGUUGUUUCUUCAAAUCUCUUGCGUGAUUUUUCAUAUAUUAGGAGUUCUAUUUUUGUCGAGCUUAAUAAUUACAUGUCCUUCCCAUGGCACCUAUUCUAGGUUUUUAUAUCGAAAAUCACCUGCAAAAUCAAAAGCUACGUUAGCAAAAAAAAUCAACUAGAGCGUUACCUUCCUGAAGGGAAUGUACCGUUCUAACUGAUAUAGUUUCCAUUAUAGCUUUAAUGGAUGUGACCACGAUUGCCACACUCCAUGGAACCUCCUAAAGUAGAUUGAGUAUCUGCACCAUUGCCCAAAAACCACUUUUUAUAAUAAUAUGCUGAAUUGAAUUAGCUUUGCAGAACUGUAAGAAUUCCCUGAUGGUUAUAUCUUCAACUACCAAAUCGGUAGUGUCUUUAAUACUAGAUCUUUUAGCAAUAACUAAUCACUAUGUUAAUCUCUGACACAAAAACCAAAUGAACUAGGGCCUGGAUUGCCCUUGGAAACACCAUCAGUGUUACCCUUUAGCCAUCUAGUUUUAGGGGAAACCAUUUCACUAGUUUAAAAUAAGAUUGGUUGUUGUAGCAUCAAAGCUCAUCAAUGAUAUUGUGAUAUUUUCAACUGUAACCUCCAUUUUGAAUAUUAUUUUCAUGAACUGUAACACCUCAAAUUUUUGAUCUCUAAAAAAUUUUAGCUAUCCAGGGUACGACUUAGGUGAUGAGUCGUGAAGACUCCCCAUGAGUCAUAUGGCUCCAAUCAUUGUCUCACUAGUAAGUUGCCCAUGGUUUUUUAUCACUCCCCAAAAUGAUAUAUAAUGACAAACAAGAAUCAUAUACACUUACUUUACCAGCACUAAGUGACAUACUCAAGAUUAUGGGACAAUAACGAGCAAGAUACCUAAUAUAAGUUAUAUACAUACACAAGGGAGUUAUAUUAACAAAAUUGUACAAUAAAAUACUACAUGAUGUUCAUGAAGUAUCUAGUCAGUUUAAAAUGCUAUAUUAUAAGUGACUAGUUGGCAUAGGGACCGUCAUGCCCAACUAGAGACCUGUACAUAUAAUAAAAAAUGUUAGACAUAGGCUAGCUCUAGAGAGAGAUGGAGCUCACUAAAAUAUUAGUUGAAAAUGGUAAUAAGAAUUAAUGUGGACAUCUUCUAUCCUAAGGAUCUAAGCAUGCAUUAGUAAUAUUUGGUACCCUAGAAGGUAAGUACAUGAACAGCAAGCACAUGUAUAAAAGUUGAUAGAAUAAUAGUUGUACAAGUACAGAAGCUCAUAUGAGUCAAAUAUCAAAGUGAAAAACGUAUGAGCCAACAAGUAACACAUAAAUGAUAUGAACUAGUAACCUAUGCACUGACCUUAUUAGCAUCUUAUAUACUAUUUAGAAAAACGGUCACUACAAUAUUAGUCCUAUAAUUUGCCUAGGUGGUGUAUUUAUCAUAUAAGUCAUACAAAUGAUCACAAGGUGGCAUAUAGAAGGCAAUCUAAGGCAAGUAUAAAUCAUAUGUUGCUCACAUACUAAUUGCUAUGAUCCCAUAUGUAUAACUGUAAUCAUAGUCUGUAACUAGGUAGGACCCACUUAGGGGCUCACUAUGAGGGGCUGGCCGCGUUCCAUAUAUGCCAUAUAUUGUCUUGAGUCAGGGAAAACCAAUUCAUAAUGUUCUAGCUGACUCUAAUUACAAAUGACACCACAAAGGCGGUAUGCCUAAUGGUUAGGCCCACUAUAAUGGUCUGGUCUUGACCUUGCGCACAAAAUCAUAUCGAGCGAUAUGCCAAGCCAAACCUCUAUACCUUUUCAUCGUUAAUGUUUAUCAAAUAAUGCUUUGAAGGCCUAUAAUAUAUGAAUUAUGAUAAUGAUCGUUUAGCUAACAUAUACAAGUGUAACUAUGCUAUUACUAUUUACUUACACACAUACACACAUAUAUAUAUAUUAUGUCCUAAGGGUUUUAAGUAGAGAAACUUAUGAUAAUAUGGAAGUAUCAAGGAAACUCAACAUAAAGAGGGAAAGAUGGAUACUUAUAAGCGUGAUAGUAGAACGAGGGAAUGAUAUGUAAGGAAAUAUAAAUAUUAUACUCUCGUAUUUCAUGAGAAUUGUAUUAAUAUUAAUAGGAAUAAGCACGUGACAUAGGAUGGUGCCUUAGCGGCUAGGGAAGUUUUAUCUUUACAUACCUUAUUGCUUAACUAGCUACGAUAGCGUUCCGAUCCUCAAACAAUUAAACUCACGAAAGUAUAGCUUUUAUCUUUCCAACAACCAACUUUUGCUAUCCAAUAGGCAAUUCACUAGCUACAAGGAUAACAUAUGUGCCCAUUAGUAACCCAUAGGUGCAUUCAAUAACUUAUUUCGAUAAUCUUUACUUAUGCCCGAAAUCAAUCAAAUUCCUUAACAAAAAUCUGGAAUAAUUCUUUAGUUUCCAAUUUAUAAGUCCAACCAUAAGUUUACCCAAUUUCGAGGAAUUCCUAAUAACUCCACUUUCAUCAAUAUUUCACAUUUUCCCCAUUAUUCUCAAGAAUCCUAAAUAAGCAAACCCCUUUCAAGAGCUUGUACCAAAAUUCAAAUUAGCUAUCCCUAAAUGCGUAUUAAUACUUAAAUUCAAGAAAAGGGUAGAAAAUUUACCUCUUGGGAUCCAAUCCCAACUCUAAAUUUGAAAUUGAUUUCUUGAUGUGGAAAGAAAAGGACAUAAAACAACGAAAAUACUAGUAAUACCACUUCUUCUCAUUCCGCAACUACAAGUAAGAACCCAAUCAAUUGCUCGCUUUUUGUAAUUGUUGCAAGGAGAAAGUGAUGAAUAAGUAGAGCAAAAUACCACCUUUGUUCAUUUUUUUGUUUUUUGGCAAGAUUUCUAGUGAACUCUACUCUUAAAUCUUUCCAUUUUUACUUUACUUUUUCAACUAAUACUUAAAUAAAUUUUCUCCCCUUUUUCUUUUUCUUUCCCUUUUUGUCACGUACUAGUACUACUAUACGUAACUUUCCCAAACCAAAAAUCAUUUUUUUGUUUGUUCCCUUAUCACUUAUUUUAAUACAUUCUAGGAACUAAAGUGACCCCCACUUGAAAGUACCAAGUUAAAGUUUAAAACUUUUCAAUACACUUUUUACCUUACUAGUAGCAACCAUAUAAAUUAUAUACACUAUAGUUAUAGGUAUUCAUUGUAAUUCUUCGUAAAAUACACUCACCAUGUAACUCUUUAUAAAUUCAUGGUCAUACUUUCUUAAAUAUUAAACUUGGAUUCCAAAAUUUUUCAAGGUAAUACAAUCUCCCCUACUUAGGAUUAUUCAUCCUCGAAUGAUGCUGGUGAUUGACUUUUUAAUCCACAACUAUCAAAUACACAUCCAUAAGAUCACUUAAUCAACUUUGAUAUCACUUGACCCCAUCAUAAGAUUUUAAAAUUUGGCUAGCUCUCUAAAUAUCUAAAAUUUUACUAGAGUUUUCUUUGUAAAUAGGCCUAUCGGAUACUUUUCAGCUAGCCAGAAUACGUCCAUAUAUGCUUCACACAACGUCAUAACACAUAUAAUACUUAACAGAUAAUAUACGAGACUCCACUCUACCUUAAGCUAAAAAAAGUACACCAGGCUACUCUUAGCCUUAAAUUCAAUUUAAAGUCAUAACAAACCAUGUAACUUACCUUACAUUCUGCAUCCGCCCGUUGUUUCCAUGUAGAUCUCAAGAUUCAUAGGCACAAAUCAUAUACCUAAAUAUAUCAAUUAAGAAUCAGAUGUCAACAUAAAAAAAUAUUAUAGAAACUAAUGAUCAUAUAAAGGGACAAGUUGUUUAUAAACCUUUCUAUGAUUUUUGGAAUAAAUAUGGGUAUUUAUCUUUCAUAUCCAUUUCUGCUUCCCAAGUGGCUUCUUUUAUAUUUUGGUUCCUCCAAAGUACCUUUACCGAAGAUAUAUCUUUAGUUCUCAAAUUUCUGACUUGCUGAUCCAAAAUAGCUACGGGGUCUUCCUUAAAUCAUAGGUCUCCCGCAAGAUUUAUACCCUCCAAAAAAAUAACGUGUGAAGGCUCUCCUAAGCAUUUACGUAGCAUAGUCACGUGGAAGAUAGGACGUACUACCGCUAACUCUAGAGGUAAUCCUAGCUUAUAGGCUACCUGACCAAUUUUGUGAAUAACUCUAUAGGGCCCAAUAUAUCUAGGACUUAGCUUACCCUUCUUUACGAAUCUCAUAACGCUUUUCAAAUGCGACACCUUCAAGAAUACCAAAUCACCAAUUUGAAACUCUAAAUUUCUACGUCAUACAUCUGCAUAUGAUUUUUCCUACUCUAAGUAUCUUUAAAGUCCAGUACACAUCCUCUCAAUAUGUCUUCGAGUGUCUGAAUAGUGCAUUCAUCUUAGCCAUCUGUCUGUGGAUAAAAUGUAGUACUAAGGUUCUCCUGCAUACCCAAGAUCCUAUGAAAAGAUUUCCAAAACUGAGCAUUAAACGGUGAACCUCUAUCUUAAAUAAUGUACAUCGGGGUCCUAUGUAGGCAAGCAAUCUCUUUUACAUAUAACUUGACAUAAUCUUCAGCCGUGUUGGUAGACUUUACCGGAAGGAAAUGGGUUGACUUCGUCAAUCGAUCAACUAUUACCCAAAUGGAGUCAUGUUUUUUAGAAUAAGAAGGUAAGCCUACAAUUAAAUCCAUAUUAAUGGCAUCCCAUUUCCAUACCGGAAUACUAAAGGUUUGAGCUAGGUCACCAUGAUUCUGAUGUUCUGCUUUUAUUUUCUGACAAUUAGAGCAUUGUGCCACAUAUUCUGCUAUAUCUUUCUUCAUCUCGUUCCACCAGUAGAUCUUUUUAAUAUCAUGAUACAUUUUUGUAGAGAUAGGAUGGAUUGAAUAAUGGGAAUAAUAUGCCUUAUCCAUAAUCUGUUGUCGUAACCCAUCUAUAUCUGUUAUAUAUAAUCUACCUCGAUACCUCAAAGUACCAUCAUCCGCUAGCUCAAAUAUUGAGACUCGAUAUUGUUAAAUCCCCUUUUUGUAUUGGGAUAAUAAGGGGUUAUAAUACUUCAUCUACUUAAUUGAUGCCAUGAGCUAUGAACCGGCUAAAUUGAGUACAACAACACCACUAUCUUCGAAAUCCACAAGUCAAACUUUAAGAUUGGAUAAUUUGUGAAUAUCUCUAGAUACUUUAUACUGAAAAAGUGACAAAUAUGCUAGACUACCCAUUGAUAGUUGACUAAGAGCAUCAACUACAAUGUUACCUUUGCCUGGAUAAUAGAGAAUAUUGACAUCAUAGUAUUUCAAAAACUCUAUCCACUGCCUCAGUCUUAGAUUUAACUCAUUUUAUCUUGAAUAGAUAUUGAAGACUCUUAUGAUCUAUAACGAUAUCAACAUGCACUCUAUAUAAGUAAUAGUGUCAUAUUUUAAGCGUGAGUACCACUGCUACAAGCUCUAAGUUAUGAGAGGGAUAACUUUGUUCAUGUUUCUUCAACUGCCAAUAAACAUAUACUAUAACUCUUCCAUACUGCAUUAGGACAUAACCCAAACCAACGCUCAAAGUAUCACAGUACACCACAUAUCUUCUUGUGCCCUCUAGUAAGUCUAAUACUAGUGUUGUAGUCGAUCUAUGUUUCAAUUCCUGGAAACUUCUUUCACGAGCAUCUGACCACUGGUACUUAACUACUUUCUUUGUCAAUUUAGUAAAUAGGGCAGUAAUAGAGGAAAUCCCUUUACAAAUCUCCUAUAGUAACCGGCUAGCCCUAAGAAACUACACACCUCAAUAGUAGUGGUUAGUUGAGGUCAAUUCUUCACAGCUUCUACCUUCUAAAAUAUACUCUAAUGCCUUCUCUAGAUAUCAUGUGACCAAGGAAAGAUAUAGAGGUAAACAAAAAUUCAGACUUAAAGAACUUGACAUACAAUUGGUGCUCUUUGAGCCUCUGUAUACUGACCUCAAAUGAUCUUCAUGCUCAGCUUCAUUACGUGAAUAUAUCAAAAUUUCAACUAUAAAUACAAUCAUGUACAUAUCAAUAAAAAUUUUGAAAAUUCUAUUCAUCAUGUCCAUGAAGGCCGUUGGAGCGCUCGUUAGUCUAAACGACAUGACAGGGAACUCAUAGUGCCUAUUUCUUAUCCAAAAGGCUAUCUUGGGGAUAUCUGCUUCAUGAAUCCUUAACUGAUGGUAACAGGACCUCAAAUAGAUCUUUGAAAAGCAUAUAGCUCCCUACAAUUGAUCAAAUAAAUUAUCUAUUCGGGGAAUAGGGUACUUAUUCCUUAUUUUCACUUUGUUCAGCUGUCUGUAAUCUAUACACAUCUGUAACAUGCCAUCUUUCUUGCAUGCAAAAAGAGCUGGUCCAUCUCAAGGUGACAUAAUAGGUUGAAUUAAGCGUUUAUCAAGUAAGUCUUUUAGCUGCUCUUACAGCUCUUUCAUUUCUAUAGGCAUCAUUUUAUAAGGUGGAAUUGAUAUUAACUGAGUAUCGAGAUCUAAAUAAAUAUCAGAAUCAAUCUCUCUAAUAGGGGUAGUGUAGGAAGUUCAUCGGGAAACAUAUCUGAGUACUCAUUCACCACUAGUAUAGAUUGGAGAAUUGGUGCUUGUUUUUCAGCUUUAACACCUUUUACUUGGACUAAGUGAUACAAACACCCCUUCGCAAUAAGCUUUUGUGCCUUAAAAUAGGAAAUAAACCUCACUUUGGCUUCAUGGAAUCACCCCUCUACUCUAAAAUUGGCUCUCUUGGGAAGUGGAAAUGGGCUAUCUUGGAUCAGUAAUCAACUGUAGCAUAACAGGAGGAUAUCCAACCUAUACCCAAAAUAACAUAUAAAUCAACCAAUUUAAGUUCAAUCAUAUUAGACAAUAUAGUACGAUCGCAUACUGUCACCACACAAUCAUAUUAGUCCCAUCUAGCUAUCAUAGAAUCUCCUGCUGGGGUCAAUACUGCAAAUAUUUCAUGUAACAACUCCAGCUCUAUUCCAAACUUCUUAGUAACAAAUGGGGUAACAUAUGACAAGGAAGAUCCUAGGUCUAUCAAGGCACAUACAUUAUCUUGAAAGAUACCUAAGGUACCUGUGACCACAUCUGGAGAUACCUCUGCAUCUUUUCGACCAGCUAGUGCAUAUAUAUAGUUUAAUCCAACGCUCAAACUGGGCCCUCUGCCCCUACGAGAUCCUCUACCUACUAAUGCCUAAGGACUGUGAGAAGAAGAGGAAACUGAUGAUAAUGAGGCUGAUGCAGACCCUAUAGGCUGUGAUCAAUCACCUCUACCUUUAUCUCUGAGCUGUAGACGAUCACAUACCAGAUGGCCCUCUAUACCAUACCAAUAACACAUAUUUAAAACACAAUGACACUCCUCUCUAUAUGCUUGGACAUACUACCUACAUAUAGGUCAAGGGGGUAACCCUCGACUGGUGCCCCUUUGACGUCGUAAGUAUGGUGCUCUAGAAGUCUGACCCUUCCCAUACCUGCACCUCAAACACGGAGCUGGAGCAUUAUUUAUAGAGCGCACAGCUGAGGGUUCUACCUAGGUGUCUCUCUAUUAGUGGAAGAUCCACUGCUUCCCUAACAAUGGCUGCCCAUCCUAGCUUUCUUACUAUGUUCCCUCUCGCUAUCUACUUUAUGAUUACACUGAUCCUUCUCUAAAUGCUGAGGAUGAACCAUGAUCCUUUCUAUAUCCAAAUUAUUAUUCAUAGAAUUAACUAAAAAGGGUCCUUCAAAAAACCCACAAGGCCAUUCACAAAGCGAUGAAUCCAUGAUGUUUGUGUGCUAACCACCUCUGGAGAAAAUCUGGACAACUGUGUAAACUGCAAAUAGUAAUCUUUGAUGCUAAGAUUACCCUAAUUUAAAGAUAUAAAUUCAUCCACCCUUGCCUCUCUGAGCUCAAAUGUCAUGAAAUAAUUUAUGAAGGCUUUUGCAAAGUCUGUCCAAACUGCUGAGGGAGCUUCUUGACCUCUUGAGGCAACCCAUAUAUAAUACCAAUCAACAAUAAUAUUUUUAAGUCAAUAGGUGGCCAAUAAACUUCAUCUAUAUCUAAUACCCGCAUCACUUUACAAAUUCUAUAAGUCUCAUCAAUGAAUUAUUGAGGGUCCUCUACAAGCUUAGGACCUGUGAAUUCUGGUAGAUUCAUACGAAGGAAAUAUUUUAUCUUAGAUUUAGCUAUCCCUCCCUAAGUAGCAAUAGGUACAUCUAUAUUUUGUCUCUGGGCCUGAGCAGCCAUCAAUUGUGUAAGCAAUUGUAUCACUCCUUUGAGUUCCUAGGCAGAGGUAUUUAGUGGAGGAAUAGGACUACUGUUGGUACCAAUGGAGGUGCUGAAAUCCCUGUAGGUCCUUCCAUCCUGAGAAUUUGAGAACCUAAAAGUAUAGAACACAUCAAACUUUCUUGAGUCCUAUUCAGAUCCACCAGUAUGGGAGAUUUCCUUGUAGUAGUUGCCUCUUGAGUGGUGCUAAUAGUGGCUUACUGGGCUGCUUUAUUCUUUUCUGUGAUAGACAUUAUCUGUAUCAUAAAUAAGUAGAAUAGGAGAUAGAAGUAACUUUCUAUGACUUAGCUCUGAUCCACGAUUUAAAUUACAAAUGAAGGUGAAAUUCCUAAAUAUCCAUGUAGUCCCUUAAUUAUAAAUGUGGCACACAAUGCAUUGAUAAGUAAGAUCCUACUAAACACAUCUUCAUAGACUCCUUGAGACACCUGAACCUAGGCUCUGAUACUAUGUUUUCCACUUCCCAAAAUGAUAAUGAUGGAUUAAGAACCGUAUACACUUACUUUACCUGGACUAGGUGACUACGCAAGAUUAUGGGACAAUAACGAGCAAGAUACCUAAGAUAAGUUAUAUACAUACACAAUUAUAUCAACAAAACUGUACAAUACAAUACUACAUGAUGUCCAUGAAGCCCUUAGUCAAUUUAACACGCUAUAUUGCAAGUUACUAGUCAGUAUAGGGCCCAUCAUGCCCAACUAGAGACCUUUACUUAUAA